This 400-nucleotide ribosomal RNA is filed under the name Halomonas sp. Its description in RNAcentral is "bacterial SSU rRNA". It matches the Rfam family "Bacterial small subunit ribosomal RNA", at positions 1 to 409 of the family's 1533-position model. The record is from RNAcentral. Lineage: Bacteria; Pseudomonadati; Pseudomonadota; Gammaproteobacteria; Oceanospirillales; Halomonadaceae.
GCAGAGUUUGAUCCUGGCUCAGAUUGAACGCUGGCGGCAGGCCUAACACAUGCAAGUCGAGCGGUAACAGAUCUAGCUUGCUAGAUGCUGACGAGCGGCGGACGGGUGAGUAAUGCAUAGGAAUCUGCCCGAUAGUGGGGGAUAACCUGGGGAAACCCAGGCUAAUACCGCAUACGUCCUACGGGAGAAAGGGGGCUUUGGCUCCCGCUAUUGGAUGAGCCUAUGUCGGAUUAGCUAGUUGGUAAGGUAAUGGCUUACCAGUAGCAGUUUUCCGUGGCUGGUCUGAGAGGAUGAUCAGCCACAUCGGGACUGUGACACGGGCCGAACUUCUUCGGGAGGCAGCAGUGGGGAAUAUUGGACAAUGGGGGCAACCCUGAUCCAGCCAUGCCCAAUGUGUGAA